Molecule: ribosomal RNA, 22 nt
Filed under: Halimeda minima
Lineage: Eukaryota; Viridiplantae; Chlorophyta; Ulvophyceae; Bryopsidales; Halimedaceae
Description: partial 5.8S ribosomal RNA
Source: RNAcentral
GCGUGGUGGACGGCUCGGUUCC